AGUGGCGGACGGGUGAGUAACGCGUGAGAAUUUGCCUUCAGGACGGGGACAACGAUUGGAAACGAUCGCUAAUACCCGAUAUGCCUAUCAGUGAAAGGUUUUCCGCCUGAAGAUAAGCUCGCGUCCGAUUAGCUAGUUGGUGGAGUAAAGGUUCACCAAGGCGAUGAUCGGUAGCUGGUCUGAAAGGAUGAUCAGCCGCACUGGGACUGAGACACGGCCCAGACUCCUACGGGAGGCAGCAGUGAGGAAUUUUCCGCAAUGGGCGCAAGCCUGACGGAGUAAUACCGCGUGAGGGAAGACGCUCUAGGGAGUGUAAACCUCUUUUAUUCGGGAAGAAAUUUUGACGGUACUGAAUGAAUCAGCCUCGGCUAACUCCGCGCCAGCAGCCGCGGUAAUACGGAGGAGGCAAGCGUUAUCCGGAAUGAUUGGGCGUAAAGAGUCUGUAGGUGGAUUGAUAAGUCUGUUGUGAAAGCGUGGAGCUCAACUCCAUAGACGCAAUGGAAACUAUCAGACUAGAGAACAGGAGGGGCAGAGGGAAUUCCUAGAGUAGCGGUGAAAUGCGUAGAGAUUAGGAAGAACACCGGAGGCGAAAGCGCUCUGCUGGACUGAUUCUGACACUGAGAGACGAAAGCUAGGGGAGCGAAAGGGACUAGAUACCCCUGUAGUCCUAGCCGUGAACGAUGGAUACU
This 689-nucleotide ribosomal RNA is filed under the name uncultured Leptolyngbya sp. RNAcentral's name for it is "bacterial SSU rRNA". It matches the Rfam family "Bacterial small subunit ribosomal RNA", at positions 94 to 817 of the family's 1533-position model. Lineage: Bacteria; Bacillati; Cyanobacteriota; Cyanophyceae; Leptolyngbyales; Leptolyngbyaceae. The record is from RNAcentral.